RNAcentral lists this transfer RNA (73 nucleotides) under Spirochaetia bacterium. Its description in RNAcentral is "tRNA-Thr". It matches the Rfam family "tRNA". Rfam says of the family: Transfer RNA (tRNA) molecules are approximately 80 nucleotides in length. Their secondary structure includes four short double-helical elements and three loops (D, anti-codon, and T loops). The record is from RNAcentral. RNAcentral also lists the same sequence under 1 other name. Lineage: Bacteria; Pseudomonadati; Spirochaetota; Spirochaetia.
GCCAUCUUAGCUCAGUUGGUAGAGUGCGUGACUUGUAAUCUCGAGGUCUUCGGUUCGAUUCCGAAAGAUGGCU